GACGAACGCUGGCGGCGUGCUUAACACAUGCAAGUCGAACGGAAAGGCCCUGCUUGCAGGGUACUCGCGUGGCGCACGGGUGAGUAACACGUGGGUGAUCUCUCCUGCACUUUGGGGUAAGCCUUCGGAACUGUGUCUCAUAUACGGUAGGAGCCAUCCUUCGUCAGAUGGUUGGAUAGAAUUUUCGGUGUAGGAUGGGCUCGCGGGCUAUCAGUUUGUUGGUGGGGUAAUGGCCUACCAAGGCGGCGGAGGGUAGCCGGGCUGGGAGGGUGGACGGCCAAAAUGGGGAUGGGGUACGGCCCAGACUCCUACGGGGGGCAACAGGGGGGGAUAUUGCACAAUGGGGGCAAGCCUGAUGCAACGAAGCCGCGUGGGGGGUGACGGCCUUCGGGUUGUAAACUCCUUUCGCUAGGGACGAAGCUUUUUGUGACGGUACCUAGUUAAGAAGCACCGGCUAACUACGUG
RNAcentral lists this ribosomal RNA (465 nucleotides) under uncultured bacterium. RNAcentral's name for it is "partial 16S ribosomal RNA". It matches the Rfam family "Bacterial small subunit ribosomal RNA", at positions 28 to 507 of the family's 1533-position model. The record is from RNAcentral.